GGGACAGAGACUUUCUUGUCUUCAAUUGAUUUGAUCAGACAGGCCCAAUCAUCAAUGAUGUGAGAACAUUUUCCAGCAAAUUUUUUUGCAUCUUUCAGCAAAUCUUGAUGUAUUUUACUGGAUAGGAUAUUAAGGCUCUUAGAUGUAGAGAACAGCAGAUGAGCAAGCCUCAUUUGAUUUCUAAAUUCAUCCCAAUCAGAUUUAUUCUCCGGGGGUUCUGUCCAAACAUGUACUGAAGGAGCUCGAAACUCAAAGCUCAUGACUUGACUAAUAGGUUUAUUACCAUCGAAACUUAAAUAAAUGUUUACCAGUCCAGGGGUUUGAGGAGAAACUAUGCAACGAUAUACCCCAGGUUGCAGAACUUCUGCAGGAAAACAAGCAUCUCCACAAACACAACGCAAGCUAGAACUUUCUAGAUGUGAUUGUUCUCCAUGAAAUUGCCCAAUGACACAGAUCUUUGUUUCUUCAGUUGAAGGAGCCCACGCAGGCAAUAUUUCUGUUAUGUUGAAUAUCUGCUCCCUUGCAUAUGAUUGACCUGUUGACACUGAAGAUUCGGGAGUUGGAUCGUCUAUGGAUUCUGGAGAAUCCUUGAUAAGGUAGUUCAUCCACCUUCCAAAGCUAUCCUGAGUUUGAAGUCUAUCCUGGUUCAGACUAUCCAAGGAAUCGCCUGUGCUCACUGUCAUUACUCCGGACUCAUUCUUCUCAAAACUUGAAGUCAUUUGACCAUCCACUGUCUGGAAGGUGAUCUCAUUUGAAUUGUUGAAUGUAGAAAUUCUCUCAAGAGAAGAG
Molecule: unclassified non-coding RNA, 789 nt
Filed under: Hevea brasiliensis (rubber tree)
Lineage: Eukaryota; Viridiplantae; Streptophyta; Magnoliopsida; Malpighiales; Euphorbiaceae
Source: RNAcentral